This 1301-nucleotide ribosomal RNA is filed under the name Sinomonas sp. S1D. Its description in RNAcentral is "bacterial SSU rRNA". It matches the Rfam family "Bacterial small subunit ribosomal RNA", at positions 118 to 1430 of the family's 1533-position model. Lineage: Bacteria; Bacillati; Actinomycetota; Actinomycetes; Micrococcales; Micrococcaceae. The record is from RNAcentral.
UGAGCAACCUGCCCUGGACUCUGGGAUAAGCCUGGGGAAACUGGGUCUAAUACCGGAUAGUACUCCUCAUCGCAUGGUGGGGGGUGGAAAGCCUUGUGCGGUCUUGGAUGGGCUCGCGGCCUAUCAGCUUGUUGGUGGGGUGAUGGCCUACCAAGGCGACGACGGGUAGCCGGCCUGAGAGGGUGAUCGGCCACACUGGGACUGAGACACGGCCCAGACUCCUACGGGAGGCAGCAGUGGGGAAUAUUGCACAAUGGGCGGAAGCCUGAUGCAGCGACGCCGCGUGGGGGAUGACGGCCUUCGGGUUGUAAACCCCUUUCAGUAGGGAAGAAGCGCAAGUGACGGUACCUGCAGAAGAAGCGCCGGCUAACUACGUGCCAGCAGCCGCGGUAAUACGUAGGGCGCGAGCGUUAUCCGGAAUUAUUGGGCGUAAAGAGCUCGUAGGCGGCUUGUCGCGUCUGCUGUGAAAGCCCGGGGCUCAACCCCGGGUCUGCAGUGGGUACGGGCAGGCUGGAGUGCAGUAGGGGAGACUGGAAUUCCUGGUGUAGCGGUGAAAUGCGCAGAUAUCAGGAGGAACACCGAUGGCGAAGGCAGGUCUCUGGGCUGUAACUGACGCUGAGGAGCGAAAGCAUGGGGAGCGAACAGGAUUAGAUACCCUGGUAGUCCAUGCCGUAAACGUUGGGCACUAGGUGUGGGGGCCAUUCCACGGUUUCCGCGCCGCAGCUAACGCAUUAAGUGCCCCGCCUGGGGAGUACGGCCGCAAGGCUAAAACUCAAAGGAAUUGACGGGGGCCCGCACAAGCGGCGGAGCAUGCGGAUUAAUUCGAUGCAACGCGAAGAACCUUACCAAGGCUUGACAUGUGCCGGACCGUCCCAGAGAUGGGGCUUCCCUUCGGGGCCGGUUCACAGGUGGUGCAUGGUUGUCGUCAGCUCGUGUCGUGAGAUGUUGGGUUAAGUCCCGCAACGAGCGCAACCCUCGUUCCAUGUUGCCAGCACUUCGGGUGGGGACUCAUGGGAGACUGCCGGGGUCAACUCGGAGGAAGGUGGGGACGACGUCAAAUCAUCAUGCCCCUUAUGUCUUGGGCUUCACGCAUGCUACAAUGGCCGGUACAAAGGGUUGCGAUACUGUGAGGUGGAGCCAAUCCCAGAAAGCCGGUCUCAGUUCGGAUUGGGGUCUGCAACUCGACCCCAUGAAGUCGGAGUCGCUAGUAAUCGCAGAUCAGCAACGCUGCGGUGAAUACGUUCCCGGGCCUUGUACACACCGCCCGUCAAGUCACGAAAGUCGGUAACACCCGAAGCCGG